GUGGGGAAUAUUGGACAAUGGGGGCAACCCUGAUGGAGCGACGCCGCGUGGAGGAUAAGGUCUUCGGAUUGUAAACUCCUGUCAUGCGUGAACAAGGUUGCUUGGUUAAUACCUGGGCAAAUUGAUGGUAACGCAAGAGGAAGAGACGGCUAACUCUGUGCCAGCAGCCGCGGUAAUACAGGGGUCUCAAGCGUUGUUCGGAAUCACUGGGCGUAAAGGGUGCGUAGGUGGCGUGGUAAGUCAGAUGUGAAAGCCCGGGGCUCAACCUCGGAACUGCAUCCGAUACUGCCAUGCUAGAGUACUGGAGAGGUGACUAGAAUUCUCGGUGUAGCAGUGAAAUGCGUAGAUAUCGAGAGGAAUACCAAAGGCGUAGGCAGGUCACUGGACAGUUACUGACACUGAGGCACGAAGGCCAGGGGAGCGAACGGGAUUAGAUACCCGAGUAGUCC
This 449-nucleotide ribosomal RNA is filed under the name uncultured bacterium. Its description in RNAcentral is "partial 16S ribosomal RNA". It matches the Rfam family "Bacterial small subunit ribosomal RNA", at positions 354 to 796 of the family's 1533-position model. The record is from RNAcentral.